UCUCUCUUAUCUUUCUCUCACCGCCUCCGUCCAAUUUCGAAUCCUCUUGCACGAACCAAACGGAGCUCCGACCAUGGCGGCGGCCACAGGCUUUCUCACCGCACUUUCUGUCGGCGAUCUAGCGUCCCCUAUCACGCUGCCACGCCGUGCCGCGCUCAUCCCGGGAAGGUGGGCUGCCGCGGGGGCUCUCCGCGUGGCAGCGGAGGCGGGGACGGAUGAGGCAGAGAAGAAGAAGAAGCAGAGGGGCAUCACCAAGCCCAGGCCAGUGUCGCCUCAACUCCAGGCGGUGGUUGGCGAGGUGUAGAUCCCCCGGACUCAAGCGCUCAAGAAGAUUUGGGCUUAUAUCAAGGAGAACAAUCUUCAGGUUUAUGUUGGUGCUUAAUUAUUUUUAAGAUCACAAUGAUGAUAAGUUGUGGCAUGAGCCCCUUUGGCAUCUGCAAACCGGGUUCAAUGCGGCCUGGGCUAUUGGCGGCAAGGAUUAAUGUGCCAAAAUGCUAAUCUGAGAUCAUAUUGCACCAAAGAAUUUUAUUCUCUCAUAUCUCCAGAUACCUUUCUCCCAAUCUUGAAUUGUAGAUUACUUAAGUGUUAUCAAACAAUUUUAUUGUUCAUUGAUCUGUACAACUUUAUUGAAAUCUACCAUUUUCAGGCUUGUCUUGAUCUGUCUGAUCCAUGGACAGUUUGAGGAACCACAGUUGCAUGACCAAAGAGGUGAUAUUUUAGUAAUCUCACUUGGUGGCAAAAACACUUGGAUGGUUGAAAUAGUGUACACAGUUGGCCAACCAAGCAGCUGGAUCAAGUGAAGUCUUAAUUGUAUCAAGUGAAGUCUUAAUUGUGAUGGAGGAUUUGUGAUGUUUCCCAUUCUUUGGAAAGCUGCUCUUUUGAUCAAGUGAAGUCCGGGCCAGCACAUUGAUUUGCAGGGUCAAUAUGAAUGUUCGGACUUCAGGUUUGGUUUCAAUAGUGUUGAAAAUCGGCGGCUCUUUCAGUGCACUUGGGUUGAUAUAUACGUACUUUUGAACUUGUCUGCCACAAUGAGUUUAUCGUUUCCUUUAGGAAUUUUCCAGUUGAGAUUG
Molecule: long non-coding RNA, 1070 nt
Organism: Zingiber officinale
Lineage: Eukaryota; Viridiplantae; Streptophyta; Magnoliopsida; Zingiberales; Zingiberaceae
Exons: 3
Source: RefSeq, a predicted model, not a curated record